Molecule: non-coding RNA, 210 nt
Organism: Vicia faba (fava bean)
Lineage: Eukaryota; Viridiplantae; Streptophyta; Magnoliopsida; Fabales; Fabaceae
Source: the annotation of a GenBank genome assembly
AUGUAUUAUGUAUGUCUACGAUAUGUAGAUAAGGAGUUUUUCUCGCCUUCCAUGAAAGCAUUUGAAUCAGCACAUUCUAUUAUUGAUGUUGUAAUCUAUUUUGGCAAUAAUAUGGCUCAGAGAUUAUCAAGGAAUUGUAUCACUUCCUCAAAGAAUUUCAAAUCUGAUAGAUAUACAGUACCUUGUCUCUCUCCAAAGCUUCUUUAUUAA